UUCCCUGUAGCUCAGUUGGUAGAGCAUGGUGUUUGCAACGCCAGGGUUGUGGGUUCGAUUCCCACAGGGGACC
This is a non-coding RNA of Salmo salar (Atlantic salmon), 73 nucleotides long. NCBI's taxonomy places the organism in Eukaryota, Metazoa, Chordata, Actinopteri, Salmoniformes, Salmonidae. The record is from Rfam.